AGAGUUUGAUCCUGGCUCAGAACGAACGCUGGCGGCAGGCCUUAUACAUGCAAGUCGAGCGCAUCCUUCGGGAUGAGCGGCGGACGGGUGAGUAACGCGUGGGAAUGUGCCCUUCUCUACGGAAUAGCCACUGGAAACGGUGAGUAAUACCGUAUACGCCCUCAGGGGGAAAGAUUUAUCGGAGAAGGAUCAGCCCGCGUUAGAUUAGGUAGUUGGUGGGGUAACGGCCUACCAAGCCUACGAUCUAUAGCUGGUUUUGGAGGAUGAUCAGCCACACUGGGACUGAGACACGGCCCAGACUCCUACGGGAGGCAGCAGUAGGGAAUCUUGGACAAUGGGGGCAACCCUGAUCCAGCCAUGCCGCGUGAGUGAAGAAGGCCCUAGGGUCGUAAAGCUCUUUCGCCUGUGAUGAUAAUGACAGUAGCAGGUAAAGAAACCCCGGCUAACUCCGUGCCAGCAGCCGCGGUAAUACGGAGGGGGUUAGCGUUGUUCGGAAUUACUGGGCGUAAAGCGCGCGUAGGCGGAUUGGAAAGUUGGGGGUGAAAUCCUGAGGCUCAACCUCGGAACUGCCUCCAAAACUGCUAGUCUAGAGUUCGAGAGAGGUGAGUGGAAUUCCGAGUGUAGAGGUGAAAUUCGUAGAUAUUCGGAGGAACACCAGUGGCGAAGGCGGCUCACUGGCUCGAUACUGACGCUGAGGUGCGAAAGUGUGGGGAGCAAACAGGAUUAGAUACCCUGGUAGUCCACACCGUAAACGAUGAAUGCCAGUCGUCGGGUAGUAUACUAUUCGGUGACACACCUAACGGAUUAAGCAUUCCGCCUGGGGAGUACGGUCGCAAGAUUAAAACUCAAAGGAAUUGACGG
This 861-nucleotide ribosomal RNA is filed under the name uncultured marine bacterium. RNAcentral describes it as "bacterial SSU rRNA". It matches the Rfam family "Bacterial small subunit ribosomal RNA", at positions 8 to 916 of the family's 1533-position model. The record is from RNAcentral.